RNAcentral lists this ribosomal RNA (598 nucleotides) under uncultured Bacillota bacterium. Its description in RNAcentral is "bacterial SSU rRNA". It matches the Rfam family "Bacterial small subunit ribosomal RNA", at positions 304 to 918 of the family's 1533-position model. Lineage: Bacteria; Bacillati; Bacillota. The record is from RNAcentral.
UCGGCCACAUUGGGACUGAGACACGGCCCAGACUCCUACGGGAGGCAGCAGUGGGGGAUAUUGCGCAAUGGGGGAAACCCUGACGCAGCAAUGCCGCGUGAAGGAUGAAGGUUUUCGGAUUGUAAACUUCUUUUGUUAAGGACGAAGAAUGACGGUACUUAACGAAUAAGCUCCGGCUAACUAUGUGCCAGCAGCCGCGGUAAUACAUAGGGAGCAAGCGUUAUCCGGAUUUACUGGGUGUAAAGGGUGCGUAGGCGGCUAAGCAAGUCAGAUGUGAAAUACACGGGCUCAACCCGUGGGCUGCAUUUGAAACUGUUUAGCUUGGGUGAAGUAGAGGCAGGCGGAAUUCCCGGUGUAGCGGUGAAAUGCGUAGAGAUCGGGAGGAACACCAGUGGCGAAGGCGGCCUGCUGGGCUUUAACUGACGCUGAGGCACGAAAGCGUGGGUAGCAAACAGGAUUAGAUACCCUGGUAGUCCACGCUGUAAACGAUGAUUACUAGGUGUGGGUGGACUGACCCCAUCCGUGCCGCAGUUAACACAAUAAGUAAUCCACCUGGGGAGUACGACCGCAAGGUUGCAACUCAAAGGAAUUGACGGAA